AACUUUUCAUCCACAUUUUUAAUCUCUUUUACAAUUUAAAGACGUUUUUUACAACAUAACAACAGAGUUAGCGAUGGUUUUAGCAACGAUUUAUUAUUUAGUGACAAUUUUAACGAUAAUUUCGUAUUAGGGAUCAAAAGUGUGAUUUUUUUCCAAAAUAACCAACAUUUUCAAAUUAAAUACGAAAAUAACCAUUUUUUC
RNAcentral lists this long non-coding RNA (201 nucleotides) under Lathyrus oleraceus (garden pea). Its description in RNAcentral is "Pisum sativum (pea) long non-coding RNA (PSAT_LNC038636)". The record is from RNAcentral. Lineage: Eukaryota; Viridiplantae; Streptophyta; Magnoliopsida; Fabales; Fabaceae.